Molecule: RNase MRP RNA, 235 nt
Filed under: Puccinia triticina 1-1 BBBD Race 1
Lineage: Eukaryota; Fungi; Basidiomycota; Pucciniomycetes; Pucciniales; Pucciniaceae
Description: RNase MRP
Rfam family: RNase MRP
About the family: RNase MRP is an enzymatically active ribonucleoprotein with two distinct roles in eukaryotes. In mitochondria it plays a direct role in the initiation of mitochondrial DNA replication. In the nucleus it is involved in precursor rRNA processing, where it cleaves the internal transcribed spacer 1 between 18S and 5.8S rRNAs.
Source: Rfam by way of RNAcentral
CAAGCAAGCCAAGGACCAUAUGUUUUUUGUGUUACACUUUCAGCAUCUAAGCUUAUUAUAUUCAACACAAGGAGAAAGUCCCCGGAAAACAAAAUAUCUUCUGUCCAAUGAUUAAAGAUUAGGGCAGUGGGGUAUUUAGUAAAGCAACUUUGUUUGUUGUUUUUUUCAUAAUAAAAAGUAAUAUGGUCACCCUAUAAUAAUGGGGCAACUUAAUGGGGCUUACUCUGGCUUGUUU